CUAGCUGCUAUCGAAGCGCCAUCUAAAAAUGGAUAAGAUGGUGGUCGGAGUGUAUAUUAGUUUUUGAAAUAAAAGGAGCAAUAACCCCCUUCUUGGUCUAUCAAGAGGGCGUUAUUGUUUCCCCUUUUUUGGUUAUCUUGAAUUUAUUUUUAUUGAGUAGGAUUUUACUUCCCUACUUUCUUUCAAAAAAGGAAUUUUUGGGGGUUCAUUGGAGUAUCGUGGUUUCAUUUGAUACUUUUUCUAGUAAUAUUGAAUAUUUUUAGUUAUCUAUUUAGACCCUCUUCGCACUCUUGUUUAAAGUUGUUUUUUUACUAGAAAAAACARAAACUUUAGAAUCGCAAUUUUUUUGCUUAUAUGUAAAAACGAGUAGCAGGGCGGAUGUAGCCAAGUGGAUGAAGGCAGUGGAUUGUGAAUCCACCAUGCGCGC
Molecule: unclassified non-coding RNA, 427 nt
Filed under: Trimeris anceps
Lineage: Eukaryota; Viridiplantae; Streptophyta; Magnoliopsida; Asterales; Campanulaceae
Description: Lobelia anceps partial miscellaneous RNA
Source: RNAcentral